Molecule: RNA transcript, 2029 nt
Organism: Mauremys mutica (yellowpond turtle)
Lineage: Eukaryota; Metazoa; Chordata; Testudines; Geoemydidae
Gene name: C-type lectin domain family 2 member D-like
Exons: 8
Source: RefSeq, a predicted model, not a curated record
AGUGGGAAAAAAAGCUGGAAAACAUGAAUCCGAAAGGCCGAGAAACCAGGAGGUGAAUAAACAGAACCCUCCUUGUGUCCUGUCCUCAUCUGGCUAUCGGUGCUUGGUAUCCCAGCCCAGGAAUACAAACUAUAGAUCUGAACUGAGCGGCGCGUCUGUGAAGGAACACAGAUGUCACUCCAGCGUUCACUUCCAAACCUGCUGUUCCAGCCCUGCCUCUCUGGGGUAGCAGCCAAGUUGAAGGUGGCAACACAGCAGUCUUGGUGCUGAUUGUCCAGAAAAUGGCAGAAGAGAGCGCUGAAGUGAUAAGUGAUACCGAUUUCAGCCUAAAAUGCAUUAAAGAUAAAUGGAUCCCAGUUACCGUUACUGUUGUCAUCACAGCUUUGAUCAUCACCGUAAUUGCACUGGCGGCCAAGAAGCCUCCCCCCUGCCCACGCUGCCCACCCCAUGUCACUGCUGCGUGCCCGGACCGCUGGGUGGGAUACCAAGGGAAAUGCUUCUACUUCUCAGAGACUGAAGGGAACUGGAACAACAGCCAGAGCCACUGCUCUUCCCUCAAUGCCUCCCUGGCUUCCAUUGAUUCCCUGCCGGAGCUGAAUUUCACACUGCGCUAUAGUGGGAUCCCUUACCACUGGAUUGGCCUCUGGAGGGAACAAGGCGAGGGCCAGCCCUGGAAGUGGACCAACGGUACCAUAUUCAACAACCUGUUUCAGGUCAGAGGGGAAGGGCAGUGCGCCUACCUGGAUGAAUAUGGGGUCAGCAGCUCCAGGUGCUACUCAGAGAGACAUUUCAUCUGCAACCGGCUGGCCGAGUGCUCUAGAAGGAAGCCAAGUGCCGCAAGAGGGGACACAAUGUCUAAGAUCACGUAAAGGGUCAAUGCAGCCUCUUCAGUGGAUGCAGAACUUACACAUUCAUCAUCUCUUGUGCAGCAUCCUACCUCUGCAACCAUUUCUCCCUCCAGAUCUCUGCUGAAAAACCAUCUUUCAAUGCUCAGAACACUAACUCUACUGCAGAAUAACUUCAUUACCAUGGUACUACUGAACAGGUGCUUUAGAGCUUGGUAUGUGCGCUGGUGAGUUCUUUGAUGGCUGCCGAGUCCGAUGGGCGAGUGACAGUCCAGUCCACAGGUACGACACACCCACACAUUAGCAACGCUCUGAAUCCAAGCAGCAGAUUCUUUCCUCCUUCGAUGCCAGUCAUCACAAAGCUUGAUCCAAUCCUCCUCAUAAUGCCUCGCUCCAUCUACAAGCUGACUCUGCCAACCGGUGUGGCAUUCUGCGUUCCUUUCCCAAUCAUCCACAGAGAUUCCAAAGGACACUAAGCUUUGCAAGCAUCCCGGGAUCUGUGCAGCGGCCUGCCUCUCUUUCUAGACUCUUCACGAGCGUCAAAGUACUGCAAACUCUUGAGGAUCCUGUAAUCCGGCAUUCACGUGACAUGACCAAGCUGCCUGAGCCCUUUCUUACUAAUUAAUGUUCCCGUAAAUGACAUGCCAGCACGAUUUAGCACUUCCACGUUUGUCACCCUGUGUUGCCAUCUUCGUUGAAGAAUUUUACCCAAGCAUCUGACAUGGAAGCUGGUUAAUCUGCUGGUAUGUUUGGUGUAAGUCGUCCAUGUUUCUGAGUCAUACAGAAGAGUGGAUAACACACACGUUUUAUAAAUACGGCUUUUCACUUUAAUUGACAAUUUGUUAUUGUUCCAGGCUCUGUCUUGCAAAAGACAAAAGUUCCCGGCUGCUUCGCUGAUUCUGCUUGUGAGCUCAGCAUCAGUAUCUACAUGGCUGUUAAUGGCAGAGCCAAGGUAGCAAAAUUGGUCGACACCAUCCAGACGAAUAACCCCUAAGGUGAUAUCUGGAACUGGCUCCUUGCUAGCCCAGAGAUUUUGCAUGAAUCAGAGCACUUAGUAAUAAGGUGUUGCAGGGCAUCAACAUGGUAAGCCACAAGGGUUGCAUCCAGUGAUGAGCUACCAAAAUAUUAACAACCGGUUCCCUCCUCCUCACCCCAUGAGGGGGUCAUGCCCCCCCGGGAACUCC